GAUGAACGCUGGCGGCGUGCCUAAUACAUGCAAGUCGAGCGAACGGACGAGAAGCUUGCUUCUCUGAUGUUAGCGGCGGACGGGUGAGUAACACGUGGAUAACCUACCUAUAAGACUGGGAUAACUUCGGGAAACCGUAGCUAAUACCGGAUAAUAUUUUGAACCGCAUGGUUCAAAAGUGAAAGACGGUCUUGCUGUCACUUAUAGAUGGAUCCGCGCUGCAUUAGCUAGUUGGUAAGGUAACGGCUUACCAAGGCAACGAUGCAUAGCCGACCUGAGAGGGUGAUCGGCCACACUGGAACUGAGACACGGUCCAGACUCCUACGGGAGGCAGCAGUAGGGAAUCUUCCGCAAAGGGCGAAAGCCUGACGGAGCAACGCCGCGAGAGUGAUGAAGGUCUUCGGAUCGUAAAACUCUGUUAUUAGGGAAGAACAUAUGUGUAAGUAACUGUGCACAUCUUGACGGUACCUAAUCAGAAAGCCACGGCUAACUACGUG
RNAcentral lists this ribosomal RNA (497 nucleotides) under uncultured bacterium. Its description in RNAcentral is "partial 16S ribosomal RNA". It matches the Rfam family "Bacterial small subunit ribosomal RNA", at positions 28 to 507 of the family's 1533-position model. The record is from RNAcentral.